GGAUCCGUGGCGCAAUGGUAGCGGUCGUGACUCAGCAUCAGAAGUUGUCGUGUUCGAUUCACGUCGGGUUCA
RNAcentral lists this transfer RNA (72 nucleotides) under Salix viminalis (osier). It matches the Rfam family "tRNA". From Rfam's summary of the family: Transfer RNA (tRNA) molecules are approximately 80 nucleotides in length. Their secondary structure includes four short double-helical elements and three loops (D, anti-codon, and T loops). The record is from RNAcentral. Lineage: Eukaryota; Viridiplantae; Streptophyta; Magnoliopsida; Malpighiales; Salicaceae.